Non-coding RNA from Nothobranchius furzeri (turquoise killifish), 2014 nucleotides. NCBI's taxonomy places the organism in Eukaryota, Metazoa, Chordata, Actinopteri, Cyprinodontiformes, Nothobranchiidae. The record is from RefSeq and is a predicted model, not a curated record.
CCACUGUCCAAUCAGAGCACAGCGUUACCUGUUGAUGUCAGUUACAUCCUAACCAGCUACCAGGAGACCCUGGCUGAACAGGAAGAUCCUCGAACCCUGUCUAAGACUAGGCUCCUCUCCUGUGGAACCAGCUCCCAGCUUUAGUCCGUGAGGCAGACACCUUGUCUACUUUUAAGAAUAGGCUUAAAACAUUUUUAUUUGAUAGGGCCUAUGGUUAAAAUCUGAUGUUAGCCUAGAUCUGGACAAGUGGGGGAGUAGAGGGAGGUGGAGUGUACAGUCGGUAAAGACGGCUCUCCCUUGCCCUGCCUCCAACAUGCCUCCAUCUAAAUAGGAUAGAUUAUCCAGAGUUAUCUCUGUAGUUAUGCUGCUAUAGGCUUAGGCCUGAUUUAUGCUUCUGCGUCUGCGUCAGUGCGGAGCACACGCAACGCCAUUAUCUGUCCUUGCGUAGGGAUCCGGCAGGCACGCAAGUACGUACGGAGUCGAGCCCACUUUUUUAAACAUCCGUCGAACCAGGGCCCGAAAUUAAAUUCUUUACUCACCGGCCAAGUUGGCUGGUAGAUGAUGAAAAUCUACCGGCCAAAAUCCUAAAUGAUUUAGAUCCACCUAAAGCAUGUAAUUCUAUAUUAUGUUGGUUCCAAACAGAGUGACAAAAUAAUUAAAACAUCAAUUAAUAAGGAAAACAACUCUUUUGUCAUUUGUACUAUUUAUUUAUUUAUUUUUAGAGAUGUUUUUAUGAACUCUUUCAUUGAAAUCUAGUCAGACUCCUUGUUUUCUGUCCAUGAAGUCUGGCCUCCUGCUUCUGACACCGUCUUUGUGCCAAAGCAUUACAGCCUCAUUUGGGUCCUAGUCCUUGAUCUCUGGAGAACACAGCUGCACCAUGAGAACAUCUCUAGGGUUGUCACGGUAACCGGUGUAGCAGUAAACCCCGGUAAAAAAGCUGACAAUAAUAAUAAACGUCUUGUUUUUAAAAAUAUGUAUAUUAUCUCGGUGGAUUACCGUGGCUGCGGUGUAGGCGUGGUGACCCUUACCAGCCACCGUAUCAUCUGCUGAAGUUGCCGGCGGCACAUGCGCACUUUGUUGUUUACAACCAAAACUUUCUUGAAGCUAAAGCUGAAAUAAUGGCCAGAGGAGGAGACGGCAGCACUCGGGACAUUUAUUAUCCCUCAAAGAAGACAAAGUCGGAAGUACGGGCAUCUUUUGGAUAUUUGAAGAAUGCCGAGGGACAGCUGUCUGUGAAAGGCAGCAACACUACGUGGCCAUCAUAAUGUAGCCAUUGUCUCACGACUCCGCCAUCUCCGUUAGAUGCGGCGCUCACGUUUCGCGUACGUUUGUGUACGUUGCAUGCAGGCGGGAGGAGUAUCAGACAUCCGUGGAAGAUGACUGAUAAACAUAACUCAUUUGGUGCAAACAUUUACUCGCCAGGUGGCAGGUAGAGCUCAAACAUUUACUCGCCAAAUGGAGCAAUUUGCUCACAUUUGGCGAGUGGCGAGUGUUAAUUUCGGACCAUGCGUUGAACGAAACGGAUGACGCAAGCUUGUGAUUGGUCAGGACGCUGCUGUUGUUUACAGCGCCGCCAUUGCAAAGAGAGCCGAGGAUAACUAGCGGCAGACACGGAGCAGCUUGAAGAAUACCUAAUGAAAAAACUAAAAAUAUGAAUGUUUCAUCCUCGCGUGACUGGAGGAGUGAAAAGAUGCGCAGCAAGCGUUUUAUUUGUGGACGGAAAUGACAGGAAACGUGGGUUUAGAGGUGGGGAGCGCAUGAAGCGGUGGGAGAAUGAGAGACAAAUAUGUCCGUGUUAAAAUCUCUUAUAUACACAAAACACAAUAUAAACACACGAUCUUGGACCGAUACAUGACAGGAUACCACAGAACAGCGCUACGCCCUCUGUUGUCCUGGCGGGGAAUUGCUUUGCAACACUCUCCAGGAGACGGAGAAGUAUGAGAGCAAAACGCUUCCGUCAAUCCGUGCGUGUCUGUCCCUUGCAGAGCUGACGGAGAAGCAUGAACCAGGCUUA